UGGGAACGUGCCUUUUGGUUCGGAACAACACAGGGAAACUUGGGCUAAUACCGGAUAAGCCCUUACGGGGAAAGAUUUAUCGCCAAAAGAUCGGCCCGCGUCUGAUUAGCUAGUUGGUGGGUAAUGGCCCACCAAGGCUACGAUCAGUAGCUGGUCCGAGAGGAUGACCAGCCACAUUGGGACUGAGACACGGCCCAGACUCCUACGGGAGGCAG
RNAcentral lists this ribosomal RNA (215 nucleotides) under uncultured bacterium. Its description in RNAcentral is "partial 16S ribosomal RNA". It matches the Rfam family "Bacterial small subunit ribosomal RNA", at positions 118 to 351 of the family's 1533-position model. The record is from RNAcentral.